This 73-nucleotide transfer RNA is filed under the name Promethearchaeota archaeon. Its description in RNAcentral is "Candidatus Lokiarchaeota archaeon (anaerobic digester metagenome) tRNA-Asn". It matches the Rfam family "tRNA". Rfam says of the family: Transfer RNA (tRNA) molecules are approximately 80 nucleotides in length. Their secondary structure includes four short double-helical elements and three loops (D, anti-codon, and T loops). RNAcentral also lists the same sequence under 1 other name. Lineage: Archaea; Promethearchaeati; Promethearchaeota. The record is from RNAcentral.
GCGGGCAUAGCUCAGUCGGUAGAGCAACGGACUGUUAAUCCGUUGGUCGUAGGUUCGAUCCCUACUGCCCGCG